This 459-nucleotide ribosomal RNA is filed under the name uncultured bacterium. RNAcentral describes it as "bacterial SSU rRNA". It matches the Rfam family "Bacterial small subunit ribosomal RNA", at positions 28 to 507 of the family's 1533-position model. The record is from RNAcentral.
GAUGAACGCUAGCGGGAGGCUUAACACAUGCAAGUCGAGGGGUAAAUGGUAGCAAUACUAUGAGACCGGCGGACGGGUGCGUAACGCGUAUGCAACAUACCUUGUGCAGGGGGAUAGCCCGUGGAAACGCGGAUUAAUAUUCCAUAGUCCAGCUAUAUCGCAUGGUAUAGUUGGUAAAGAUUUAUCGGCACAAGUUUGGCAUGCGUCUGAUUAGCUUGUUGGUAGGGUAACGGCCUACCAAGGCUACGAUCAGUAGGGGUUCUGAGAGGAUUAACCCCCACACUGGUACUGAGACACGGACCAGACUCCUACGGGAGGCAGCAGUGGGGAAUAUUGCACAAUGGGCGAAAGCCUGAUGCAGCGACGCCGCGUGAGGGAUGACGGCCUUCGGGUUGUAAACCUCUUUCAGCAGGGAAGAUAAUGACUGUACCUGCAGAAUAAGCUCCGGCUAACUUCGUG